This 1672-nucleotide long non-coding RNA is filed under the name Zostera marina. Its description in RNAcentral is "long non-coding RNA (ZMAR_LNC003561)". The record is from RNAcentral. Lineage: Eukaryota; Viridiplantae; Streptophyta; Magnoliopsida; Alismatales; Zosteraceae.
GUGAUUAACAAUUUACUUUUAACUAUACUAUAAAUAGUUUGUAUUACCCUAGGUUUUGGGUUAAUCAUUUUUUCAAUGAAAUUUUUUUGAGCUGUAGAUGAGUUGUGUUUCUGAGAUGGUAUCAGUUGAUUAAAGAAAUUUUCGUUUACAAUUUGUUUUCUUUCAUCGGCAAUCACCUGCGCUUCUUUCUUCUCGUGAUCGUCCGCUCACCGUCGUUACCUUCCGAUCUAGAUCUGCUAGGCUCUAUCUCGCUGGGAUCUGGGAUUUCCGUUAGAAACGUCGUUGGUUAGGGAUCUAUUCUCGUGAUCUAUUCUCUGGAUCGAUUGUUUACGCUCGCGAUUAAGAUCUGCAUUUUCUCGCAGAAAUUGGUUGUGAUUUGUGCGAUUUUUUUUGCGAUUUUUUUCCUGCGCUGCUCGUGAUCUGCGAUUUGGAUCAGAUUUUGGCUCUGACAUUGUUCAGAUUCGUGAUUUGACAUUGCUCAGAUUUAUUUAUUUUUUUAAUUCAAAAAGGCUAUUUUUUUUCCCUUCCUCUUUGUGAUUUGCAGAUUGGUGAUCAAAUUCUUGCAUGGUUUUUCCCCCUCUCUUCUUGUGUGAUUCUUGAACUGUCAAAGACUUGAUUGAAAUUUCUUGGAUUGGCAGUAACAAGAAUAAUUGAUUUGUGAAUUUCACAUACCAAUUUGGUUUAUUUGAGUUGCUAUUUGAUUUACAAAUUUCAGUAUACAUACAUGAUUGAUUUUUUUUCUUCUUUUCUCUCAUCUUUUGUAAUUUUGGUUAUAUUAAUUUGUGAUUUUGGUGCUUGUGAUUGGUGGCCUGUUUUUGAUAAUUGGGCAAUGGCAGCAAACAAUCCCAAUGAUAGGACGACUCCUCUCCUUCCUAAUGCUUUACAUAAAUGUCAGGUCUCACAAUGGAUUAGGACUUUCUUGGAUAGAGCUGCAACGUAUCUCUUAUGGAGAAGUCAAAUGAUUAAUUUAUUUCGUUUAAAACAUGUAUAUGAUAUUGUCAAUAAAAAACAGGAAAUGCCACAUGGUUCACCAAAUCAGGCGCAUCAAAUCUGGUUAGAGAAAAAUUGGACAGUUCUUGGUUGGAUUCAAGCGACGGUUGGACCUGAUAAGAGUUUAGAUUGAAGCCAGCGCGGAUCUUGGAGCACAGACGUGAUGAAGGAUCGAGGAUCGUAGUAGGGUUUUGAGAAAUCCUAGCGGCGGAGAUUGAGAGAGGGCAGAAGUCGAGAGCAAGUUGCAGCGCAAAAAGUUGUUUUCAUUAAUAAUAAAAAACCUAUUUAUACAAUAUACUAAUGGGCCAAUAAGUAUUGGGUCUGACUAAAUUAACACUAAACAUAAUACUAAGAUGAUGUUAAUUAGAUGAGUUUAACACCCCCCCUCAAGUUGGAGAGUGGAUAUCAUGCAUUCCCAAAUUAGGCAGUAGUCUUCUUAUUGUUUCAAGUGUGGCUGGUUUUGUCAAGAUGUCAGCUAAUUGCAUGUUUGAGGAAACACGUGUUAAAUCAAAUAAUCCUGUCAGAAAAUGAUCUUUAACCAAAUGACAAUCGAUUUCAAUGUGUUUUGUUCUUUCAUAGAACACAGGGUUAGAGGCAAUGUUUAUUGCAGCCUUGUUAUCACAUCUGAGAAUAGGUUUUGAUUUAAAGAAAUUUGUAAAUCUUUCAAAAAAUAAGUGAGCCA